UUUGACAUUUUGCUUAUCCAUAAAAAUGUUUUCCGAUACUAAUUAUCUCAAUGCUCGCUGGCUUCUCUCAAAUAUAAUUCUAGAAGAAUCAGCUUUUAUUUCUUUUGUUCCAAGGAUGGAGAAACAUUCCAAGCUUAUAUAUUAGUUCAUCAGCAAGGAAUUAGAAGAUUUUUGGACUUUUUUGUUCCUGCUUGUAUUAGUCCAAUUGGAUACAGAUUAGCCAAGAGCAAGCAGGUGAUCAACAUACCUACUUGAGGACCAUAUGAGGUAGAUUACUGUUGUGGUUCUUAAGGUUUGUUCUUAUGCAAUAAUCCAUGAAUAUUGAGGUUUUCUGUUUUUUUUGGGCUUAUGGAGCAUUUCAGGUAAGAACCAAAAGAGAGAGAGAGAGAGAGAGAUAUUUUGUAGUUUAGCAUAAAAUAUUUUUUAGGUGAUGUAAUAAUGUAUUUGGCAAGUUUCUUGUUGCUCUUAUGGAAGUUGCUGUAAAUAUUUUUUUUUUUUUUGUCAAAGCUGUAAUUCCUUGCUCCUAUGCAUUGUAAGUAUUUUUCUAAUGAGCUAUUUUGUUAUCACGACAUUAUUUUA
Long non-coding RNA from Nicotiana tabacum (common tobacco), 579 nucleotides. RefSeq lists it as uncharacterized. The record is from RefSeq and is a predicted model, not a curated record. Lineage: Eukaryota; Viridiplantae; Streptophyta; Magnoliopsida; Solanales; Solanaceae.